This 986-nucleotide long non-coding RNA is filed under the name Salmo salar (Atlantic salmon). Its description in RNAcentral is "lncRNA (ENSSSAG00000090285.1)". Lineage: Eukaryota; Metazoa; Chordata; Actinopteri; Salmoniformes; Salmonidae. The record is from RNAcentral.
GGUAGCCUAGUGGUUAGAGUGUAUAGGUGGCAGGUAGCCUAGUGGUUAGAGUGUAGAGGUGGCAGGUAGCCUAGUGGUUAGAGUGUAGAGGAGGCAGGUAGCCUAGUGGUUAGAGUGUAGAGGUGGCAGGUAGCCUAGUGGUUAGAGUGUAGAGGUGGCAGGUAGCCUAGUGGUUAGAGAGUAGAGGUGGCAGGUAGCCUAGUGGUUAGAGAGUAGAGGUGGCAGGUAGCCUAGUGGUUAGAGAGUAGAGGUGGCAGGUAGCGUAGUGGUUAGAGAGUAGAGGUGGCAGGUAGCCUAGUGGUUAGAGAGUAGAGGUGGCAGGUAGCCUAGUGGUUAGAGAGUAGAGGUGGCAGGUAGCCUAGUGGUUAGAGAGUAGAGGUGGCAGGUAGCCUAGUGGUUAGAGUGUAGAGGUGGCAGGUAGCCUAGUGGUUAGAGAGUAGAGGCGGCAGGUAGCCUAGUGGUUAGAGUGUAGAGGUGGCAGGUAGCCUAGUGGUUAGAGUGUAGAGGUGGCAGGUAGCCUAGUGGUUAGAGAGUAUAGGCGGCAGGUAGCCUAGUGGUUAGAGUGUAGAGGUGGCAGGUAGCCUAGUGGUUAGAGAGUUGGGCCAGUAACAGAAAGGUUGCUAGAUUGAAUCCCCAAGCUGACAAGGUAACAAUUUGUCGUUCUGCCUCUGGACAUGGCAGUUAACCCACUGUUCCUAGACCAUCAUUUGAAGUAAGAAUUUGUUCUUAACUGACUUGUCUGGUUAAAUGAAAUAAUUUUUUUUUUGUUAUCUCAACCAGCUUCACCUGGAAUGCUUUUCCAACAGUCUUGAAGGAGUUCCCACAUAUGCUGAGCACUUGUUGGCUGCUUUUCCUUCACUCUGCGGUCCAACUCAUCCCAAACCAUCUCAAUUGGGUUGAGGUCUGGUGAUUGUGGAGGCCAUUUCAUCUGAUGCAGCACUCCAUCACUCUCCUUCUUGGUCAAAUAGCCCUUACGCAGCCUGGAG